This 547-nucleotide ribosomal RNA is filed under the name uncultured Glomeromycotina. RNAcentral describes it as "SSU rRNA". It matches the Rfam family "Eukaryotic small subunit ribosomal RNA", at positions 548 to 1098 of the family's 1831-position model. The record is from RNAcentral. Lineage: Eukaryota; Fungi; Glomeromycota.
UUGGAGGGCAAGUCUGGUGCCAGCAGCCGCGGUAAUUCCAGCUCCAAUAGCGUAUAUUAAAGUUGUUGCAGUUAAAAAGCUCGUAGUUGAAUUUCGGGAUUCUACCGUUGGUCGGACUAACAAGUCUGUACUGGUGUGUAGAAUUUCUACCUUCUGGGGAAUUAUCAUGUUAUUAAUUUAGCGUGGUGGGAAACCAGGACCUUUACCUUGAAAAAAUUAGAGUGUUCAAAGCAGGCUUACGUCUGAAUACAUUAGCAUGGAAUAAUAGAAUAGGACGGUGGUCCUGUUUUGUUGGUUUCUGAAUCACCGUAAUGAUUAAUAGGGAUAGUUGGGGGCAUUAGUAUUCAAUUGUCAGAGGUGAAAUUCUUGGAUUUAUUGAAGACUAACUUCUGCGAAAGCAUUUGCCAAGGAUGUUUUCAUUAAUCAAGAACGAAAGUUAGGGGAUCGAAGACGAUCAGAUACCGUCGUAGUCUUAACCAUAGACUAUGCCGACUAGGGAUCGGACGAUGUUAAAUUUUAUUGACUCGUUCGGCGCCUUACGGGAAAC